RNAcentral lists this ribosomal RNA (2901 nucleotides) under Shigella flexneri 1235-66. RNAcentral describes it as "bacterial LSU rRNA". It matches the Rfam family "Bacterial large subunit ribosomal RNA". Lineage: Bacteria; Pseudomonadati; Pseudomonadota; Gammaproteobacteria; Enterobacterales; Enterobacteriaceae. The record is from RNAcentral.
UAAGCGACUAAGCGUACACGGUGGAUGCCCUGGCAGUCAGAGGCGAUGAAGGACGUGCUAAUCUGCGAUAAGCGUCGGUAAGGUGAUAUGAACCGUUAUAACCGGCGAUUUCCGAAUGGGGAAACCCAGUGUGAUUCGUCACACUAUCAUUACGUGAAUACAUAGCGUAAUGAAGCGAACCGGGGGAACUGAAACAUCUAAGUACCCCGAGGAAAAGAAAUCAACCGAGAUUCCCCCAGUAGCGGCGAGCGAACGGGGAGCAGCCCAGAGUCUGAAUCAGCUUGUGUGUUAGUGGAACGGUCUGGAAAGUCCGACGGUACAGGGUGAUAGUCCCGUACACCAAAAUGCACAGGCUGUGAACUCGAAGAGUAGGGCGGGACACGUGGUAUCCUGUCUGAAUAUGGGGGGACCAUCCUCCAAGGCUAAAUACUCCUGACUGACCGAUAGUGAACCAGUACCGUGAGGGAAAGGCGAAAAGAACCCCGGCGAGGGGAGUGAAAAAGAACCUGAAACCGUGUACGUACAAGCAGUGGGAGCCUCUUAAUGGGGUGACUGCGUACCUUUUGUAUAAUGGGUCAGCGACUUAUAUUCUGUAGCAAGGUUAACCGCAUAGGGGAGCCGAAGGGAAACCGAGUCUUAACUGGGCGUUAAGUUGCAGGGUAUAGACCCGAAACCCGGUGAUCUAGCCAUGGGCAGGUUGAAGGUUGGGUAACACUAACUGGAGGACCGAACCGACUAAUGUUGAAAAAUUAGCGGAUGACUUGUGGCUGGGGGUGAAAGGCCAAUCAAACCGGGAGAUAGCUGGUUCUCCCCGAAAGCUAUUUAGGUAGCGCCUCGUGAAUUCAUCUUCGGGGGUAGAGCACUGUUUCGGCUAGGGGGUCAUCCCGACUUACCAACCCGAUGCAAACUGCGAAUACCGAAGAAUGUUAUCACGGGAGACACACGGCGGGUGCUAACGUCCGUCGUGAAGAGGGAAACAACCCAGACCGCCAGCUAAGGUCCCAAAGUCACAGUUAAGUGGGAAACGAUGUGGGAAGGCACAGACAGCCAGGAUGUUGGCUUAGAAGCAGCCAUCAUUUAAAGAAAGCGUAAUAGCUCACUGGUCGAGUCGGCCUGCGCGGAAGAUGUAACGGGGCUAAACUGUGCACCGAAGCUGCGGCAGCGACACUAUGUGUUGUUGGGUAGGGGAGCGUUCUGUAAGCCGUUGAAGGUGGCCUGUGAGGGUUGCUGGAGGUAUCAGAAGUGCGAAUGCUGACAUAAGUAACGAUAAUGCGGGUGAAAAACCCGCACGCCGGAAGACCAAGGGUUCCUGUCCAACGUUAAUCGGGGCAGGGUGAGUCGACCCCUAAGGCGAGGCCGAAAGGCGUAGUCGAUGGGAAACAGGUUAAUAUUCCUGUACUUGGUGUUACUGCGAAGGGGGGACGAGAAGGCUAUGUUAGCCGGGCGACGGUUGUCCCGGUUCAAGCAUGAAGGCGGAGGUUCCAGGUAAAUCCGGUACCUUUUAACGCUGAGGUGUGAUGACGAGGCACUACGGUGCUGAAGUAACAAAUGCCCUGCUUCCAGGAAAAGCCUCUAAGCAUCAGGUAACACGAAAUCGUACCCCAAACCGACACAGGUGGUCAGGUAGAGAAUACCAAGGCGCUUGAGAGAACUCGGGUGAAGGAACUAGGCAAAAUGGUGCCGUAACUUCGGGAGAAGGCACGCUGAUAUGUAGGUGAAGUGAUUUACUCAUGGAGCUGAAAUCAGUCGAAGAUACCAGCUGGCUGCAACUGUUUAUUAAAAACACAGCACUGUGCAAACACGAAAGUGGACGUAUACGGUGUGACGCCUGCCCGGUGCCGGAAGGUUAAUUGAUGGGGUUAUCCGUAAGGAGAAGCUCUUGAUCGAAGCCCCGGUAAACGGCGGCCGUAACUAUAACGGUCCUAAGGUAGCGAAAUUCCUUGUCGGGUAAGUUCCGACCUGCACGAAUGGCGUAAUGAUGGCCAGGCUGUCUCCACCCGAGACUCAGUGAAAUUGAACUCGCUGUGAAGAUGCAGUGUACCCGCGGCAAGACGGAAAGACCCCGUGAACCUUUACUAUAGCUUGACACUGAACACUGGUCCUUGAUGUGUAGGAUAGGUGGGAGGCUUUGAAGUGUGGACGCCAGUCUGCAUGGAGCCAACCUUGAAAUACCACCCUUUAAUGGCUGGUGUUCUAACGUGGACCCGUAAUCCGGGUUGCGGACAGUGUCUGGUGGGUAGUUUGACUGGGGCGGUCUCCUCCUAAAGAGUAACGGAGGAGCACGAAGGUUAGCUAAUCCUGGUCGGACAUCAGGAGGUUAGUGCAAAGGCAUAAGCUAGCUUGACUGCGAGAGUGACGGCUCGAGCAGGUGCGAAAGCAGGUCUUAGUGAUCCGGUGGUUCUGAAUGGAAGGGCCAUCGCUCAACGGAUAAAAGGUACUCCGGGGAUAACAGGCUGAUACCGCCCAAGAGUUCAUAUCGACGGCGGUGUUUGGCACCUCGAUGUCGGCUCAUCACAUCCUGGGGCUGAAGUAGGUCCCAAGGGUAUGGCUGUUCGCCAUUUAAAGUGGUACGCGAGCUGGGUUUAGAACGUCGUGAGACAGUUCGGUCCCUAUCUGCCGUGGGCGCUGGAGAAUUGAGGGGGGCUGCUCCUAGUACGAGAGGACCGGAGUGGACGCAUCACUGGUGUUCGGGUUGUCAUGCCAAUGGCAUUGCCCGGUAGCUAAAUGCGGAAGAGAUAAGUGCUGAAAGCAUCUAAGCACGAAACUUGCCCCGAGAUGAGUUCUCCCUGAGACUUUAAGUCUCCUGAAGGAACGUUGAAGACGACGACGUUGAUAGGUCGGGUGUGUAAGUGUAGCGAUACAUUGAGCUAACCGAUACUAAUGAACCGUGAGGCUUAACCU